GCUCAGGGUAGAGGACUCGGGAACCUAUUGGUGUGGAAUUAGCGAGUCUUCCAGGAUCUUGCGUCUCAGAGCCAUCCAUCUGGUGGUAUCUAAGGCUUCAACCCUGUCCCCCCCCCAGGAGCACCAGGAGGACCACAGCCUGGACCUCUGCCAUCAUCCCUGUCAUUGACAGCCCCGCAGGCCACUGGGAUGUCAUCUCCGGCGUGGUGGUGGCCGUGGUGCUGCUGCUGGUGCUCAUCCUCCUCCUGAUCCUGUACCUCAGGAAAGCCCGAGAAAGAGCCAAGAAAGGUAAACCCUGUCGCUGGCUCCGAGCAGACCACCCAGUGCUUAGCCAUGAUAAGGCGCCCACAACUCAUGCUGACAAGGCUUAUUACCCCAUUUUACCAACAAGGAGACU
Ceratotherium simum simum (southern white rhinoceros) is the source of this 397-nucleotide non-coding RNA. The record is from RefSeq and is a predicted model, not a curated record. Lineage: Eukaryota; Metazoa; Chordata; Mammalia; Perissodactyla; Rhinocerotidae.